AUGGAAGCUCCGGUGGCUAGCCGGACUAGCGAGUUUGCCCAUUUAGAACGGCAGUUGGAUGCGGCAGACGCCGACAUCGAGCUUGUUAACAAAAGGCUUGACGAGGCACAUGAUGGAGCUGCCACUGUUGAAGCCUUGCGGGCAGAACUUGCCCGAGCCAAGGAACAAGCGAGGUUGAGUAAUGCGGCUGCUGUGAAGGCGGCCGAAGAGUUGCAAGCCGAGAAGGCCGCGCAUGGCGAGACCCGAGACAAGAUGGCCAAGAUGGCUAUAGAAUUAAAAGCUGCUGCCGACCGUUGCCGGGUUCUUGAAAAGGAAAACCAAGCGAAGGCAUUGGACCUUGAGAAGGCUGCUGCGACGAAGAAGGAUCUCCGCUCUGCUAUGAGGGCAAAGAAGGAGGAGCUGCGGGAAGCCGGGGAUAUUGUAGCUGGGAAAUCCUUUAUGUCGCGGAGGAUAUUCGGAGAUCCACGGUAUGCCCCUCUGGAUCGGUUGUGGAGUUCGGAGGAUGUGUAUAUGGAUUAG
RNAcentral lists this ribosomal RNA (519 nucleotides) under Triticum aestivum (bread wheat). RNAcentral describes it as "partial small subunit ribosomal RNA". Lineage: Eukaryota; Viridiplantae; Streptophyta; Magnoliopsida; Poales; Poaceae. The record is from RNAcentral.